This 75-nucleotide antisense RNA is filed under the name Streptomyces sp. TLI_053. RNAcentral's name for it is "ASpks TB sRNA". It matches the Rfam family "ASpks TB sRNA". Lineage: Bacteria; Bacillati; Actinomycetota; Actinomycetes; Kitasatosporales; Streptomycetaceae. The record is from RNAcentral.
CUUCACCGAACCCAGCCACAGCGGCUGUUCGGGCGAUCGCUGCUGACCGUAGGUCGCGAUCAGCGCCUGCGCCUC